This 497-nucleotide ribosomal RNA is filed under the name uncultured bacterium. RNAcentral's name for it is "partial 16S ribosomal RNA". It matches the Rfam family "Bacterial small subunit ribosomal RNA", at positions 28 to 507 of the family's 1533-position model. The record is from RNAcentral.
GAUGAACGCUGGCGGCGUGCCUAAUACAUGCAAGUCGAGCGAACAGACGAGGAGCUUGCUCCUCUGACGUUAGCGGCGGACGGGUGAGUAACACGUGGAUAACCUACCUAUAAGACUGGGAUAACUUCGGGAAACCGGAGCUAAUACCGGAUAAUGUAUUGAACCGCGUGGUUCAAUAGUGAAAGACGGUUUUGCUGUCACUUAUAGAUGGAUCCGCGCCGCAUUAGCUAGUUGGUAAGGUAACGGCUUACCAAGGCAACGAUGCGUAGCCGACCUGAGAGGGUGAUCGGCCACCCUGGAACUGAGACACAGCCCAGACACCUACGGGAGGCAGCAGUAGGGAAUCUUCCGCAAUGGGGGAAAGCCUGACGGAGCAACGCCGCGUGAGUGAUGAAGGUCUUCGGAUCGGAAAACUCUGUUAUUAGGGGAGAAGAAAUGUGUAAGUAACUAUGCACGUCUUGACGGUACCUAAUCAGAAAGCCACGGCUAACUACGUG